RNAcentral lists this transfer RNA (72 nucleotides) under Trichobilharzia regenti. It matches the Rfam family "tRNA". From Rfam's summary of the family: Transfer RNA (tRNA) molecules are approximately 80 nucleotides in length. Their secondary structure includes four short double-helical elements and three loops (D, anti-codon, and T loops). The record is from Rfam by way of RNAcentral. Lineage: Eukaryota; Metazoa; Platyhelminthes; Trematoda; Strigeidida; Schistosomatidae.
GUCGGUGGUACAGCGGUUAGAACGUUCGCCUACUAUGCAAAUGGUCUGGGGUUCGAUUCCCGGCCACCGACG